UGCCGCAGCAGCCGACGCAUGCUUGCAGCUGUGUUCCGUAAGUGUUGUGUGGUGUUCCCUAGCAUUUAGGUUUCUCGUGUGUUGCAUGUGGCGUUGGUUGUUUGCAAUACUGCUGCGUUGGAAGCUUCCUCUACGGAUACACGCUGUAAAGACUUGGAAAAGUGCCCACACCGGAGCACGUUAUUGCGCGCCGAGCCGCAAUGGUGAACUGCGCCGUCUACGGUUGUUCCAACCGGUCAAAAAACAAACCCAACGAUGAGAACUUUCAACCGCUGGGCUUCUAUGUCGUGCCCAAAGUCAAAGAAGGACAGUGUCUUAGGACAGCUGAGCUGUCUUCAAGGCGCAGAGCUCUGUGGCUGAGCAGAAUUCGUCGCAAAGACCUGGACGAAUUGGCGACGCAUUACCGAGUUUGCGGGGCGCAUUUCAUCACAGGUAAGCACGGCAGCGGCAUUAAAGCUUAGUUUUUUAGCGCAAUUCUUUGCAUGCAGCUCUGUAACGUACCAGUGGGCUAUAUUUUUCAGGACGACCAGCUUAUUUGAUGGAUGAGGCUAAUCCCGACUGGGCGCCGAGCCUCAAUCUCGGCUACAAGUCCACGACGCACGCUGGAAGAAGCGCAAGCGACAGGUGCAAAUUAAUUUUGUACGCAGUCAAACAAGUGAUUAUGAACUAAUCGAACUAAUUUUUUACAGGUAUAUGCGACUCAAGCAACGAAGGCGCGCGAGUUCUGCAGCCAACGCCUUUGAAUUAAGGCAGCGACCGGAGAGCGCGAGCACGAACGCGGCGCCCAUCGCUGCAGGAACGGCGGCCGAGGAGAUUUCUUUCAGUGACGAAGAAUCCCCCUCAUCAGAACAAACUGCAAUGCAACACCUUGUAGGCCAUGCAUGUAAGCUAAGUAAACAUUUAUGCAUUCGUACUUAAGAGAGUAUGGAGCUCUGGAGCAUGGCAAUUGCUCAUUUAGGCUUCUGUGUUAUGUGCGCAAGGACGUUUGUCUUUGAAUUCUCACAGCUGAUCGAAUA
Molecule: unclassified non-coding RNA, 1016 nt
Filed under: Dermacentor andersoni
Lineage: Eukaryota; Metazoa; Arthropoda; Arachnida; Ixodida; Ixodidae
Description: uncharacterized LOC126534616
Source: RNAcentral